This 1097-nucleotide long non-coding RNA is filed under the name Trifolium pratense (red clover). Its description in RNAcentral is "long non-coding RNA (TPRA_LNC014094)". The record is from RNAcentral. Lineage: Eukaryota; Viridiplantae; Streptophyta; Magnoliopsida; Fabales; Fabaceae.
CCUUUUGUAACUCACUUUCCAUGGAAGAACUACCAAGAUUCAACUUCAUACACAUAAAUAAAAAAAUGUUAAUUUCAUAUUAGAGAAAAUAUUUAUAUAAAUACCUGCAUUAAAAGCAAACUUUGGUUAAAUGUUGAACAAAAAUGCAUAUGAAAAACAACCUCCUUAUCUUCUUUAGCUCCAUUUGCGCAAGCUUCAUUCCAAAAAAAAAUGAAAAGUUAAAUUUGCAAGGUUUAAAAUGACAAAGGAAAGAAGAAUGAAUGAAAGGGAGAGAAAGAAACCUUACCUAGUAUUUGCAGAUUUUUUUCUUCCAAAGAUAGAAUGAAUGGUUAGGUAAAUAUACGAUGAAAAUGGUAAAAUAAAAUCAUCUCUUUGGACUGCCUUUUUGCACCAUAGCUUCUAAUGUUGAUGGGAAGCCACAACAACAUUUAAUCAAACACAUGGUGUGCAUAUAGAAAAUGAAAGUGAUGAGUAAAACAAAUAAACAAAACAGAAAAAUAAAAUAAAUAAACAACAACAACAACAACAACUAAAUUCAGCUUUAAUAACCCUUUUCUAAAUUCUGAUUCAAAAAUUGAAAAAUAACAAAGAAAGAAAAAUCAAAUACCUGGAAGGAAGAAUAAUGAAGAUGAUUGUAGAGAAAAUCAAAUACCCAUGUAGUUCUUCUUCUUCUUUGAUGGAUCUUCUUCUUUCUCUCAUGUAGAACAAAACUUUGAUUUCUUCAACAAAAAUCAUAGAACAACUAAUAACAAAUCAGAAAAAAAAUGAAGCAAAUAUCAGAGAACAACUAAUACAACAACCACGAAAAAAAAUCAAGAAAUACUCGUCCAUACGAAAUUUUGAAAACGUACCCGUUGAUAAUUUACAACCAAAGAACACAAUUUACAAAAAACAUUUUAUCAAACACAUGGUGUGCUUGUAUGAAACUGAAACAAACAACAUCAAAUUGUAACAGGUAAUUAAAUUCCAACACAGCAAUAAACAAAGAAGAAGAUUUAUGUUUACGGAGGAAAUCACUACCUUGUGUAGGUGUUGUUAUCCGGUGGAUCUUCUUUCUCCUUCUCCCGUCGUUUCUUUCUCGAAUUUCUUUCUCUAUC